CCUAUUCUCGAUUACUUGGGAC
Molecule: microRNA, 22 nt
Filed under: Xenopus laevis (African clawed frog)
Lineage: Eukaryota; Metazoa; Chordata; Amphibia; Anura; Pipidae
Description: xla-miR-26-2-3p
Gene: xla-miR-26-2-3p
Source: miRBase by way of RNAcentral